GCCAUUUUGGCUCAGUGGAUAGAGUGUCAGCCCAUGGGCUGAAGGGUCCCGGGUUCGAUUCCGGCCAAGGGCA
This 73-nucleotide transfer RNA is filed under the name Myotis lucifugus (little brown bat). It matches the Rfam family "tRNA". Rfam says of the family: Transfer RNA (tRNA) molecules are approximately 80 nucleotides in length. Their secondary structure includes four short double-helical elements and three loops (D, anti-codon, and T loops). Further hydrogen bonds mediate the characteristic L-shaped molecular structure. tRNAs have two regions of fundamental functional importance: the anti-codon, which is responsible for specific mRNA codon recognition, and the 3' end, to which the tRNAs corresponding amino acid is attached (by aminoacyl-tRNA synthetases). tRNAs cope with the degeneracy of the genetic code in two manners: having more than one tRNA (with a specific anti-codon) for a particular amino acid; and 'wobble' base-pairing, i.e. permitting non-standard base-pairing at the 3rd anti-codon position. Lineage: Eukaryota; Metazoa; Chordata; Mammalia; Chiroptera; Vespertilionidae. The record is from Rfam by way of RNAcentral.